This is a long non-coding RNA of Phacochoerus africanus (Common warthog), 583 nucleotides long. RefSeq lists it as uncharacterized. Lineage: Eukaryota; Metazoa; Chordata; Mammalia; Artiodactyla; Suidae. The record is from RefSeq and is a predicted model, not a curated record. The transcript has 3 exons.
CUGAAAAGCCCACAUGCAGCUCGGCAGUAGCUCUUGUCCCAGCCACCGGGAAAGCCGAGGGUUCCAGAUGAUGCAGCUCCAAGAUCCUGGAGCCUCAGUGAGCCUGGAUUCCUGAGAGAUGGGAAAUGUGUCAAAUCACUGGGAUCGAUUUGGAGUUAAUUUGUUACUGCCACACAACCAAGCCUAUCCUAACUAGUAGGCUGGGGACAACUAGCAGCCUCUGCCACAAGUCGAAUGUGUCACCGUCCAGAUAAAAGCACAAAGGGGCCAAUUAGUGUUUAUGUGAGAAGAAGCAAGUUGAGGGCUCCAGGCCCAGGGGUCUCGAAUGAAAACCUUUCUCUGACACUUUGACCAAGGGACUGAAUCAGAGAGAAGGUCAAAGGCUCAACUAGGGAAUGAAGGAAGCUCGCUCUUGUCCAGUGGAUUGAGCGCCGUCUCAGGACGGUUACAUCAGAAUCUCGGGGGACCCAGAGGGAACUCUCAUUCGAAAAGGUAAGUGCACCAAAACGCCCGCAGCCGAGCUGUCUACAGAAUCUCCAAGGGAAAGCUCAGACGUAGGUAUAAAAAAAAAAGCUCUGUAACG